AUGGGGAUGCGCCUUCAAGUGCUUGCUUGGCUAUUGACAUUUCAGGCUGCCUGGGUCAACACCCAAAUGUUGCAUCAGAGUCCUCAGUCUCUGACAAUCCAAGAAGGAGAUGAAGUCACCAUGAGCUGCAAUUUAUCAACAUCUUUAUAUGCCUUACUCUGGUAUAGGCAGGGGGAUGAUGGCAGCCUCGUCUCCUUGGUGACAUUACAGAAAGGAGGAGAUGAGAAAAGUAAGGACAAAAUAACCGCUAAUCUGGAUAAGAAAAUGCAACAAAGUUCCCUGUGGAUCCAAGCCUCCCAGCCCAGCCACUCAGGCACUUACCUCUGUGGAGGGAAAG
Molecule: non-coding RNA, 337 nt
Organism: Mus musculus (house mouse)
Lineage: Eukaryota; Metazoa; Chordata; Mammalia; Rodentia; Muridae
Source: the annotation of a RefSeq genome assembly